Molecule: ribosomal RNA, 175 nt
Filed under: uncultured bacterium
Lineage: Bacteria
Description: partial 16S ribosomal RNA
Rfam family: Bacterial small subunit ribosomal RNA
Source: RNAcentral
CGUGAAGCUGGAUUCGCUAGUAAUCGCGCAUCAGCCAUGGCGCGGUGAAUACGUUCCCGGGCCUUGUACACACCGCCCGUCAAGCCAUGGGAGCCGGGGGUGCUUGAAGUGCGUCGCCGCAAGGCGCGUCCUAAGGCAAUACCGGUGACUUGGGGCUAAGUCGUAACAAGGUAUC